Long non-coding RNA from Planococcus citri (citrus mealybug), 2364 nucleotides. RefSeq lists it as uncharacterized. Lineage: Eukaryota; Metazoa; Arthropoda; Insecta; Hemiptera; Pseudococcidae. The transcript has 6 exons. The record is from RefSeq and is a predicted model, not a curated record.
UGGUAUAAUUUAUAUGAUCCUGCAACUGUGCUAAUCUUAGUCCUUUUUUAUGUGUGUUUCAGAGAUGCAAAUCUGAAGGAUUCCAGAAAUUGUUGAAAAAAGGAAGAGAAUCCGAAGAUGUGAAGACAAAGAAUGCUGGUCGAUAUCUUAGUAAUAUCAUAAAGGAGAGAAAUAAAGAAGAAAUAUUUUGGCCCUAACCUGUAUGAGACUGUCGGUGAGAUCUGGAGAAUAUAUCAAAGACGAAUCUAUUGAAGAGGCAGCUGGAUCAUUAUGCGAUUUUAUCAUCGUAUAAAAGUAAGUUUCUUAAAAAAAAAAUUAAAAAAAAUUUAACUAUAACUAGGUUAUUACUACUACUACAAUAACUAGCAAAAUAUGUAUGGGUGAGCGCUUCUUUUCCAUAAACAAAAUUCGGAUGGUUUAAAGAAAAAUUUAAAAACUUAAAAAAAUAUGUGUGUUUUUUGGAUGUGUGUUGAAAAAACGAGGAACAAGGGGGAUUUUCGUGGCAAAGGAAACAUAGGAAAAGGGGAUUUUAAACUUUUCAUGGAUUAAGAGGGAAAGGUUAGAGUUUUUUGCUUGGGGAAAAGAAGAAAUUGUAUUCGUAUGUUUAAGACGUUGAGAGGAAAGGAUAAUUUUUAGAAUAUGAAGAAAGGGAAAAAACUUAAGUAAAAAAAAUUAAACUACAAAAAAUUGAAUGAGAAGAAAAAAAAAGGUUAAUAAUAAUAGUGCUAAUUUGCAGCUUUCGCUUAUAUAUAUAAGGUACAAUUGACACGCUAUCUUUUAUAUGGAGUAAUUUUUAUAUUGUAGACUAAUAAUAUUUUAAGAUAGGUGGAAUGUAUUGAUUAUCCUCGUGUUUUGUAAUUUUUUGUGUUUUGCAUGUGGUAUAUGGCACGAAUCAUGGCGUGGGGCGUCGUUGGUUCCAAGGAAUUUGUGACCGAUACAAGACUCGAUAGUCGUGGGCUCAUCUCGGUUCACUCGUCGUGUGACUUAUCAUGGGGCUUAAAAGCUCUUCCUGGGAUUUGGAGCGUGUACGUAACGUUCAUGGUUCUAGGUCACAUGGUUUAUACUGGAAUAUGCGUCGUGGGAGCUAUGGAGUGAAAACAUAAGGUGUUCGCUUUUUGGUGACUUAUGAAUUUUAUUUACAACUGGACCAUGCUUGAUUUUAAUAUUGGCGACGUAGUACGCAAUAUUAUUGAACUGGUUUUCUAUUGUUUCAAGGUGUUCGAGAAGGAAUGCGAAUCUGCUAGUUGGACGUUGGUAGGGUUUGGUUCAUUCUUGGGAAAUGGAAAUCGACAGAAUUCUGACCAGUUCCGGCCAGUACAGGCAUGUUGGAUUGGGAUUUUGACUGGGAAUAGGCAGCGACGAUUCAAUAAUUUUUAUACGUGAUUCGAUUUUUCACAGGUAAGAAGUAAAACAUAUUCUCAGCAUAUUGCUAUGCGAAUAUGUUUUGUAUUUCUUUUUAGUUUCAGGAAAUACCAAAGAAAAUGGAAUCGAAUUUUUCGUCUUAUGGUAAUUCGAAUGGUGGAAUCUAAAUGGAGCGAAAAGUUCUUGCGAUCGCAUACGUGGCGAUUGAAACGAGUAUCAGAGUGAUGGGUCUCGAGUUUUGGAUUCCAAUAUGUAAUUUUCAGUUUCAUAUAAAGUGAGUACAAAAAGUAUUUCCUAUAAUGUAAUAAGCGAAUAUUUUUUGUAACUCUUUCUCAGUUUCAGGAGGUACAUCUUGGAAUCAUCGAAGAUGGAAUCGAUUGCAAUUUGGAUUUUUCACAAUCCUAGAAUUAUGAAAAGUGGGGCUUUGAAAGUGAAAAGAAAUUACGAAUUAUCGAGAGCAGCAAACGGGCUGCCAAUCAUGAAAGGGUAUCCUAGGUUGCAUACGAAAGAAUCAGCAUGAUUUCGUUCAGCAGAAUAGAGUUCAGCAUGUAUUACUUUCGAGAUUACUGGCAUUUUCAUAUCGGAAAGGUGUAUUCGUGGGACAAGAAAGAACGAUUUCGAGUGAGCUUGGAAUAUACCCUAAACAUGUAGUUUUGUGAAUAUUUGUUGUUAUUCAUUUUUGAUUUCAGAAAGUAAAGUUUGAAAUUGUCGACAAUUCCGAAUUAUUUUGAUUUUUCAAGAAGCUACGUCUGAAUCAUGAAAGCAUAGAAGCGACACGAUCGACCAGAAAUUACCAUCAUGAACAUGUUGUUGAAUGCGAGCACGUUGGAUUCACGUUCGAACUCUAUGCACGUGGUUGUCGACGACGAGAACCGAUGAUGAACGAUUUUUUGGUUCGAAUUAAUGGCUCAGAGGGAUAUGAAUGAAAAACUCGAAAGUUUUAUGUACUGAGUUGGAUCUAGAUCCGUAUUUCGUAAUAUUGAACGAAUCGUGAUGGGAAAC